This 648-nucleotide ribosomal RNA is filed under the name uncultured bacterium. RNAcentral's name for it is "bacterial SSU rRNA". It matches the Rfam family "Bacterial small subunit ribosomal RNA", at positions 143 to 807 of the family's 1533-position model. The record is from RNAcentral.
ACAACAGUUGGAAACGACUGCUAAUACCGCAUAAGCCCACGGCUCGGCAUCGAGCAGAGGGAAAAGGAGCAAUCCGCUUUGAGAUGGCCUCGCGUCCGAUUAGCUAGUUGGUGAGGUAAUGGCCCACCAAGGCGACGAUCGGUAGCCGGACUGAGAGGUUGAACGGCCACAUUGGGACUGAGACACGGCCCAGACUCCUACGGGAGGCAGCAGUGGGGAAUAUUGCACAAUGGGGGAAACCCUGAUGCAGCGACGCCGCGUGGAGGAAGAAGGUCUUCGGAUUGUAAACUCCUGUUGUUGGGGAAGAUAAUGACGGUACCCAACAAGGAAGUGACGGCUAACCACGUGCCAGCAGCCGCGGUAAAACGUAGGUCACAAGCGUUGUCCGGAAUUACUGGGUGUAAAGGGAGCGCAGGCGGGAAGACAAGUUGGAAGUGAAAUCUAUGGGCUCAACCCAUAAACUGCUUUCAAAACUGUUUUUCUUGAGUAGUGCAGAGGUAGGCGGAAUUCCCGGUGUAGCGGUGGAAUGCGUAGAUAUCGGGAGGAACACCAGUGGCGAAGGCGGCCUACUGGGCACCAACUGACGCUGAGGCUCGAAAGUGUGGGUAGCAAACAGGAUUAGAUACCCUGGUAGUCCACACCGUAAAC